RNAcentral lists this non-coding RNA (788 nucleotides) under Trechoblemus micros. The record is from RNAcentral. Lineage: Eukaryota; Metazoa; Arthropoda; Insecta; Coleoptera; Carabidae.
AUAAAGUUUAAUUUUAAUUUAAAAAUUAAUUUAAUUUUUUUUUUAUAUGUAUAUUUUUGUUUUUUUAAAAAAUUUAAUUUAAAAAGUUAGGUUUAAAAAUUUUAUUUGCAGUAUUUAAUAUUAAUAAUAUAAGAAAUUAUGAAUUAGAAAUAAAUUUUUAUAUAAACAAAUUUUGUGCCAGCAGUUGCGGUUAUACAAAAUAUAUAAAUUAAUUUUUUUAGUAAGUAAUUAAAUGUAUUUAUAUUAAAAUUAAAUUGAUAAAUAUUAAGUGAAAUUUUAUUUAUUAAUUAGGUUUUUAAUUAAAUUUUUAUAAUUAUGAAAUUUUUAUUUAAACUAGGAUUAGAUACCCUAUUAUUUUAAAUGUAAAAUAAAUUUACUAAGGUAGUAUUAGUUAUAAUCUUUAAAUUUAAAAAAUUUGGCGGUAUUUUAGUCUAUUUAGAGGAACCUGUUCUAUAAUUGAUAAUCCACGAUAAAUUCUACUUAUUUUAAAAGUUUGUAUACCAUCGUUAUAAGAAAAUUUUUUUAGGAUAUAAAUUUUUAAUAGAUUUAAUUAAAUUUUAUUUCAGAUCAAGGUGCAGUUUAUAGUUAAGAAGAAAUGGGUUACAAUAAAUUUAUUUAUAUGGAUAAAAAUUUGAAAUAAUUUUUUUAAAGUGGAUUUAAUAGUAAUAAAAUUUUAUUAAAUUUUGUGAUUUUAGCUCUAAAAUAUGUACAUAUCGCCCGUCACUCUUAUUAUAAAAUAAGAUAAGUCGUAACAUAGUAGAUGUACUGGAAAGUGUAUCUAGAAUGAU